This 574-nucleotide ribosomal RNA is filed under the name Ilyonectria sp. JCM 28414. RNAcentral describes it as "eukaryotic LSU rRNA". The stretch from base 196 to 349 matches the Rfam family "5.8S ribosomal RNA". Lineage: Eukaryota; Fungi; Ascomycota; Sordariomycetes; Hypocreales; Nectriaceae. The record is from RNAcentral.
GGAAGUAAAAGUCGUAACAAGGUCUCCGUUGGUGAACCAGCGGAGGGAUCAUUACCGAGUUUACAACUCCCAAACCCCUGUGAACAUACCAUUAUCGUUGCCUCGGCGGUGCCCGCUUCGGCGGCCCGCCAGAGGACCCAAACCCUUGAAUUUUUUAUUACAGUUAUCUUCUGAGUACAUGAUUAAAUCAAUCAAAACUUUCAACAACGGAUCUCUUGGCUCUGGCAUCGAUGAAGAACGCAGCGAAAUGCGAUAAGUAAUGUGAAUUGCAGAAUUCAGUGAAUCAUCGAAUCUUUGAACGCACAUUGCGCCCGCCAGUAUUCUGGCGGGCAUGCCUGUUCGAGCGUCAUUUCAACCCUCAAGCCCCCGGGCUUGGUGUUGGAGAUCGGCGGGCCCUUCGGGGCGCGCCGCCUCCCAAAUAUAGUGGCGGUCUCGCUGUAGCUUCCUCUGCGUAGUAGCACACCUCGCACUGGAAAACAGCGCGGCCACGCCGUUAAACCCCCCACUUCUGAAAGGUUGACCUCGGAUCAGGUAGGAAUACCCGCUGAACUUAAGCAUAUCAAUAAGCGGAGGA